RNAcentral lists this long non-coding RNA (1351 nucleotides) under Solanum tuberosum (potato). RNAcentral's name for it is "long non-coding RNA (STUB_LNC003025)". Lineage: Eukaryota; Viridiplantae; Streptophyta; Magnoliopsida; Solanales; Solanaceae. The record is from RNAcentral.
CAGAUUUUAAAUUGCAAUUUGCUUGAAUCUCAUGGGAUCACCCUAUCAUCUACAAUCAGAGGUUCUUUAUACCAUAACAAUCCAACACCAAGUAACUACAACGUAGAACAACAAACAAAAUAAUGCAAUGCUUUAAGUAGAGCAUUAAAUACAGCAAUAUACCUUUCAGAAAAAUCAAUCUCCUCCAACUGUUGGAGCAAAAAUCUCGCCGCUGCCAAGGUCCGUUUCACAGAGCAAAGUUCACGAAUAGAGAGUAUACCUCCUGCAACGGAAGCAUCAACAAUAGGGGAAAUAUCUUCAAUUCCAGUAAAAUCCAACGGCCGAGGAACAGCCACGGCGGCCGAGGUCUGAGAGAGGAGUCUACUGCUCUCAUCAGGAGUUCUACCCACCGGAAUCCGAGCAGAUUGUGCUGCGGCGUAUCCCAUGGAUGUGGAAGUGAAGGAGGAGAGCUGUUGACACACUGCGGGCCAUUCUAGAAGCUUCAGGGUUUCGGAUUGCAGUGACUCGGCGAGUUUGAUUCUGUGAGUUGACUCGGAUGAGAAGCGGACGGAGAACCUAGUUGUACGACGGUUACAGAGCGAGCUGUGAGGCGGAGGAAGAUGAAUGGUUAAAAAAUUAUUGAAUUUGCAUUUGCAGUUGCAGUUGAAGAGAUUCAUUGAAGAUAAAGUUUGAAUUUUUGUUGAGCUUUGGGUGCGUUAUCCAGUUACUCUAAAAUGGAGGGAAGGACGGGUUACACGGCAAUACAGUAAGCAAUCCAUUAUGUCAUCAACAUUCUCAAACUUUUUGGUUAUGGUUCCAGCCGUAAAAUCAAUUAUUAAUGUUUUAUACUGUGUAAUGCGUCUUAUUAAAAAAUUAAGUUAUUUAAGUCAAACUACAUUCGCAAUUUGCUGAUUUUAAAAUAUGAAGCGAUUAGAAUCUAACAAACAAGUGGUGUUCGGAUCAGUUUGGGCAUGUAGUCUACUCACACUAGCACAUGAAGAAGAUAACUUUGUCCAAGAAAGAAAUAACUACUCAUGUUUUGUUACAUAAAAUUUGAGUCCCGGCCUCCCACAACAUUCUUUUUAAAUCUUAAUUUGUAUUAUGGGUGUGUAUAAGAAAGGAUUGCACAGAAGACAAAAAUACAGGAGUCUCAGCUUGUGUGUUUUGGUGGUUUUGCAGUUCUGAUAAAGACGAAAUUAAGUUGAUAUUAGUUUCUCAUGGCAUUUGUAAAUUAUGAAGAUGAAUUUAAUUCUUAAUGUGUACUUCAUCAACAACAAGAGCUUUCAGCUUCAAUUGAAAUAUUUAUUUUCUACAGAGUUAAAUAUCCAAUGACUAUCAACUAAGGGCCUGCAACAGAUUAUAUACACUCCAG